This 279-nucleotide ribosomal RNA is filed under the name uncultured bacterium. Its description in RNAcentral is "partial 16S ribosomal RNA". It matches the Rfam family "Bacterial small subunit ribosomal RNA", at positions 506 to 784 of the family's 1533-position model. The record is from RNAcentral.
UGCCAGCCGCCGCGGUAAUACGGAGGGUGCGAGCGUUAAUCGGAAUUACUGGGCGUAAAGCGCGCGUAGGUGGUCUGUUAAGUCAGCUGUGAAAGCCCUGGGCUUAACCUGGGAACUGCAGUUGAUACUGGCAGGCUAGAGUACGAGAGAGGGAGGUAGAAUUCCAUGUGUAGCGGUGAAAUGCGUAGAUAUAUGGAGGAAUACCAGUGGCGAAGGCGGCCUCCUGGCUCGAUACUGACACUGAGGUGCGAAAGCGUGGGUAGCAAACAGGAUUAGAUA